UACGAAGGGGGCGAGCGUUGUUCGGAGUUACUGGGCGUAAAGGGCGCGUAGGUGGUUGUGUAAGUUGGAUGUGAAAUCCCUGGGCUUAACCUAGGAACUGCAUACAAAACUGCAUAGCUAGAGUACUGUAGAGGGUAGUGGAAUUUCCGGUGUAGCGGUGAAAUGCGUAGAGAUCGGAAGGAACACCAGUGGCGAAGGCGGCUACCUGGACAGAUACUGACACUGAGGCGCGAGAGCGUGGGGAGCAAACAGG
This 253-nucleotide ribosomal RNA is filed under the name uncultured bacterium. RNAcentral describes it as "partial 16S ribosomal RNA". It matches the Rfam family "Bacterial small subunit ribosomal RNA", at positions 524 to 776 of the family's 1533-position model. The record is from RNAcentral.